This 211-nucleotide ribosomal RNA is filed under the name Salmonella enterica subsp. enterica serovar Agona str. 400095 18. RNAcentral's name for it is "partial 23S ribosomal RNA". It matches the Rfam family "Bacterial large subunit ribosomal RNA", at positions 2723 to 2925 of the family's 2925-position model. The record is from RNAcentral. Lineage: Bacteria; Pseudomonadati; Pseudomonadota; Gammaproteobacteria; Enterobacterales; Enterobacteriaceae.
GUCAUGCCAAUGGCACUGCCCGGUAGCUAAAUGCCGGAAGAGAUAAGUGCUGAAAGCAUCUAAGCACGAAACUUGCCCCGAGAUGAGUUCUCCCUGAGACUUAGAGUCUCCUGAAGGAACGUUGAAGACGACGACGUUGAUAGGCCGGGUGUGUAAGCGCAGCGAUGCGUUGAGCUAACCGGUACUAAUGAACCGUGAGGCUUAACCUUAC